GCUAAGGGGGCAUUUGGUUCCCCCCCCGACUCACGUCCUUGGCUGAGAUCAUCAGAAUUCCGAGGAGGUCAGCCAAGGAGACAGAUUGGGGGCAGACCUGCGUGGUGCUGGAAAUAAGGUGAGGGACAGUUAAUUAUUUUAACACAGGUUUGUGUUCCUGAUCCAAUACUGUUCCUUUAAGCGUAACGGCUGCUCUGGAGUCUAACACCCAAGUCAGUUCUGCUGAAGUUGGAGUAUUGGGCCUAGAUGUUAAUUUGAUGCAUUUCCUUACU
Molecule: non-coding RNA, 272 nt
Organism: Pelobates cultripes (western spadefoot toad)
Lineage: Eukaryota; Metazoa; Chordata; Amphibia; Anura; Pelobatidae
Source: the annotation of a GenBank genome assembly